GGGCGGCUAGCUCAGCGGCAGAGCAAUUGCUUUACACGCAAAAGGUCGGGGGUUCAAAUCCCUCGCCGCCCACCA
This 75-nucleotide transfer RNA is filed under the name Chloroflexota bacterium. RNAcentral's name for it is "tRNA-Val". It matches the Rfam family "tRNA". From Rfam's summary of the family: Transfer RNA (tRNA) molecules are approximately 80 nucleotides in length. Their secondary structure includes four short double-helical elements and three loops (D, anti-codon, and T loops). Further hydrogen bonds mediate the characteristic L-shaped molecular structure. tRNAs have two regions of fundamental functional importance: the anti-codon, which is responsible for specific mRNA codon recognition, and the 3' end, to which the tRNAs corresponding amino acid is attached (by aminoacyl-tRNA synthetases). tRNAs cope with the degeneracy of the genetic code in two manners: having more than one tRNA (with a specific anti-codon) for a particular amino acid; and 'wobble' base-pairing, i.e. permitting non-standard base-pairing at the 3rd anti-codon position. Lineage: Bacteria; Bacillati; Chloroflexota. RNAcentral also lists the same sequence under 2 other names. The record is from RNAcentral.